GGCCACAGCCAUAUCACCCUGCAGCCCAAGACCGGUUACUCACUGAAGCUAAGCAGGGCUGAGCCUGAUUAGUAGUAGCUAGAUGGGAGACCACAUACAAAAUAAAGCAAAUAAAUAAAUACUAGGUUGCUGUUGGAA
This 138-nucleotide ribosomal RNA is filed under the name Danio rerio (zebrafish). Lineage: Eukaryota; Metazoa; Chordata; Actinopteri; Cypriniformes; Danionidae. The record is from RNAcentral.